Molecule: ribosomal RNA, 253 nt
Filed under: uncultured bacterium
Lineage: Bacteria
Description: partial 16S ribosomal RNA
Rfam family: Bacterial small subunit ribosomal RNA
Source: RNAcentral
GACGAACCGUGCGAACGUUGUUCGGAAUAACUGGGCUUAAAGGGAGCGUAGGCGGGCUAACAAGUCUGGGGUGAAAUCCCGCGGCUCAACCGUGGAACUGCCUUAGAUACUGUCGGCCUCGAGGGAGAUAGGGGCAUGCGGAACUAACGGUGGAGCGGUGAAAUGCGUUGAUAUUCACAGGAACUCCGGUGGCGAAGGCGGCACGCUGGACCUUUUCUGACGCUGAGGCGCGAAAGCCAGGGGAGCGAACGGG